AAAAUAAUUAAUAUUAAAAUGUAAAACUAUAUUUUAUGCCACGUGUCAUCUUUCGGGAUAAAUUUUUUCCGCUGAUGUGGACGCUUCCAUUUUUAAUGCUGUAUGUUUACAUAUUUUUUACAAUUUUCGAAAAUAAUUAAUAUUAAAAUGUAAAACUAUAUUUUAUGCCACGUGUCAUCUUUCGGGAUAAUUUUUUUCCGCUGAUGUGGACGCCCUAUAGAGACUCAAAAGCUCCCUUUUAUUAGUAAUGUUAUAUUAUGGAGAUAAUCCGUCUUUUUUUUUAAGUGAAAAAUAGUAAUCUUACAUAUGUUUAAUGUAGUUUUUCCAUUUUUUAAUGCUGUAUGUUUACAUAUUUUUUACAAUUUUUGAAAAUAAUUAAUAUUAAAAUGUAAAACUAUAUUUUAUGCCACGUGUCAUCUUUCGGGAUAAAUUUUUUCCGCUGAUGUGGACGCUUCCAUUUUUUAAUGCUGUAUGUUUACAUAUUUUUUACAAUUUUCGAAAAUAAUUAAUAUUAAAAUGUAAAACUAUAUUUUAUGCCACGUGUCAUCUUUCGGGAUAAUUUUUUUCCGCUGAUGUGGACGCCCUAUGGAGCCUCAAAAGCUCCCUUUUAUUAGUAGUUUUUACAAUUUUCGAAAAUAAUUAAUAUUAAAAUGUAAAACUAUAUUUUAUGCCACGUAUCAUCUUUCGGGAUAAAUUUUUUCCGCUGAUGUGGACGCCCUAUGGAGCCUCAAAAGCUCCCUUUUAUUAGUAGAGAAGUCAAACAUAUUUAUGUUUAAUGUAGUAUUUCCAUUUUUAUGUUGUAUGUUUUACUUAUAAUUAUUAUUUUCGAAAUUAUAUAUAAUGUUUUUUGUUUUUUUUUUAUAAAACGGUAAUGUUACAUUAUGGAGAUAAGCCGUCUUUUUUUUUUAAGUGAAAAAUAGUAAUCUUACAUAUGUUUAAUGUAGUUUUUCCAUUUUUAAUGCUGUAUGUUUACAUAUUUUUUACAAUUUUUGAAAAUAAUUAAUAUUAAAAUGUAAAACUAUAUUUUAUGCCACGUGUCAUCUUUCGGGAUAAAUUUUUUCCGCUGAUGUGGACGCUUCCAUUUUUAAUGCUGUAUGUUUACAUAUUUUUUACAAUUUUCGAAAAUAAUUAAUAUUAAAAUGUAAAACUAUAUUUUAUGCCACGUGUCAUCUUUCGGGAUAAUUUUUUUCCGCUGAUGUGGACGCCCUAUAGAGCCUCAAGCGCCUCAAAAGCUCCCUUUUAUUAGUAGAGAAGUCAAACAUAUUUAUGUUUAAUGUAGUAUUUCCAUUUUUAUGUUGUAUGUUUUACUUAUAAUUAUUAUUUUCGAAAUUAUAUAUAAUGUUUUUUGUUUUUUUUUUAUAAAACGGUAAUGUUACAUUAUGGAGAUAAGCCGUCUUUUUUUUUAAGUGAAAAAUAGUAAUCUUACAUAUGUUUAAUGUAGUUUUUCCAUUUUUAAUGCUGUAUGUUUACAUAUUUUUUACAAUUUUUGAAAAUAAUUAAUAUUAAAAUGUAAAACUAUAUUUUAUGCCACGUGUCAUCUUUCGGGAUAAAUUUUUUCCGCUGAUGUGGACGCUUCCAUUUUUAAUGCUGUAUGUUUACAUAUUUUUUACAAUUUUCGAAAAUAAUUAAUAUUAAAAUGUAAAACUAUAUUUUAUGCCACGUGUCAUCUUUCGGGAUAAUUUUUUUCCGCUGAUGUGGACGCUUCCAUUUUUUAAAUAACUAAAAAAUAGAAAAACUACAUUAAACAUAUGUAAGAUUACUAUUUUUCAUUUAAAAAAAAGACGGCUUAUCUCCAUAAUGUAACAUUACCGUUUUAUAAAAAAAAUCAAAAAACA
RNAcentral lists this long non-coding RNA (1835 nucleotides) under Brassica rapa (field mustard). RNAcentral's name for it is "long non-coding RNA (BRAP_LNC000044)". The record is from RNAcentral. Lineage: Eukaryota; Viridiplantae; Streptophyta; Magnoliopsida; Brassicales; Brassicaceae.